GCCGAUUUUAACGAGAUUUUAUACUCGUCAGAGAAGGAUGGGGGCUCCCCUCGUCAUCAGUCUCGACUACAAGCGUUUCAAGAUGCGCUAUCAGACUGUAAUUUGGAGGACUUAGGUUAUAACGGUGACAUGUUCACCUGGUUUCGCGGUGGUCUGCGCGAGAGGCUCGAUCGAGCAGUCUCUAAUGCUGCAUGGCUGCAGUUGUACCCUGAUACGUGUUUGAGUAACUUGGAUAUGGGCAAAUCGGACCACCGACCGGUGCUAUUAGAUACCGAGUACCUAUCAGGUGUGGCGGAAAGUAGACCAAAGAGAAACAUGAAGUUUGAAAUGUGA
Molecule: ribosomal RNA, 333 nt
Filed under: Triticum aestivum (bread wheat)
Lineage: Eukaryota; Viridiplantae; Streptophyta; Magnoliopsida; Poales; Poaceae
Description: partial small subunit ribosomal RNA
Source: RNAcentral